Molecule: ribosomal RNA, 23 nt
Filed under: Mazzaella splendens
Lineage: Eukaryota; Rhodophyta; Florideophyceae; Gigartinales; Gigartinaceae
Also listed under: 4 other names
Description: partial large subunit ribosomal RNA
Source: RNAcentral
CAAGACGACCCGCUGAAUUUAAG